ACCAUAUGCUGGUGCAGUUGGCCCUGGGUUCCUCCUAAUGCAAGACAAUGCUAGACCUCAUGUGGCUGGAGUGUGUCAGCAGUUCCUGCAAGAGGAAGGCAUUGAUGCUAUGGACUGGCCCGCCCAUUCCCCAGACCUGAAUCCAAUUGAGCACAUCUGGGACAUCAUGUCUCGCGCCAUCCACCAACGCCACGUUGCACCACAGACUGUCCAGGAGUUGGCGGAUGCUUUAGUCCAGGUCUGGGAGGAGAUCCCUCAGGAGACCAUCCGCCACCUCAUCAGGAGCAUGCCCAGGCGUUGUAGGGAGGUCAUACAGGCACGUGGAGGCCACACACACUACUGAGCCUCAUUUUGACUUGUUCUAAGGACAUUACAUCAAAGUUGGAUCAGCCUGUAGUGUGGUUUUCCACUUUCAUUUUGAGUGUGACUCCAAAUCCAGACCUCCAUGGGUUGAUAAAUUUGAUUUCCAUUGAUAAUUUUUGUGUGAUUUUGUUGUCAGCACAUUCAACUAUGUAAAGAAAAAAGUAUUUAAUAAGAAUAUUUCAUUCAUUCAGAUCUAGGAUGUGUUAUUUUAGUGUUCCCUUUAUUUUUUUGAGCAGUGUAUUAUUCCAGCAAUUCAAACUUGUUUUGAAAUAAUUCCUUUAGUUGUCUUUGUGUAAUUGUUACCCAUUUGUACUGUAUUGUGCUGUUACGUCCGUCGUUGAAUGAAUGAGACCAAAUCGCAGAAAGUGUUCAUGAUAAUUUAAUAUUGAACCACCGACAAAACAACAAAAUAAAAACAAACGUAAAGUUCUGCAGGACUAUACAGCUAGGGUGGAAAACAGGGUGACUAACUAAAUAUGAUUCCCAAUCAGAGACAACGAUAGACAGCUGCCUCUGAUUGGGAACCAUACCCAGCCAACAAAGAAAUAGAAAACUAGAAUGCCCACCCAAAUCACACCCUGACCUAAUCAAAUAGAGAAAUAAAAAGGCUCUCUAAGGUCAGGGUGUGACAUGUGCAGUACUUCCUGUUCACUGUGUAGCCUUUCAUCUCCUCAUGGUUUUGUCUCUGGUCACUGCAGCAGAGGGCUCUUUAUCACCAGUUCUGCCUGCUGGUGCCAUCAUUAGGAUUGUGAUUAGAGUAUUGCUGGUUGUGGGAGGGGCAGUUGGUGUUGCAGUGUUAUUCAUCAGGAAAAAUGGAACCAAUGCUGAGCCAAUGCAUCGAGGAGGUUCUCAACAACCUGUAUAUGAGAACCCUUCAUCUGUAUGUGAAAACCCACAACAAAAUCAAUCUCCACCUCUACCCCUGACAGAAAUGCAGGACUUCAAGAGUACGUAUGAUACUAGGAUAAUGUGAGAGAAGUCAAUGGAAAAGACCUCCAUUCAACCACCAUUGACAGCAUUGCACACUCUUGGCAUUCUCUCAACCAGCUUCACCUGGAAUGUUUUUCCAACAGUCUUGAAGGAGUUCCCACAUAUGCUGAGCACUUGUUGGCUGCUUUUCCUUCUCUCUGCGGCCCAACUCAUCCCAAACCAUCUCAAUUGGGUUGAGGCCGGGUGAUUGUGGAGUCCAGCUAAUUUGAUGCAGUACUCCAUCACUCUCCUUCUUGGUCAAAUAGCCCUUACACAGCCUGGAUGUGUGCUGGGUCAUUGUCCUUUAGAAAAACAAAUUAUAGUCCCACUAAGCGGCAGGUAGCCUAGUGGUUGCUCGAUCGAAUCCCCGCGAUCGAAUCCCCGAGCUGACAAGGUAAAAAUCUGUCGUUCUGUGCCUGAACAAGGCAGUUAUCGCACAGGCCUUCAUUGUAAAUAAGAUUUUUUUCUUAACUGACUUGCCUAGUUAAAUUUUUAAAAAUACAGAGAAAAAUAAGCGCAAACCAGAUGGGAUGUGGUAUCGCUGCAAAAUGCUGUGGUAGCCAUGGUGGUUAAGUGUGCCUUGAAUUCUAAAUAAAUCACUGACAGUAUCACCAGCAAAGCCCCAUCACACCUCCUCCUCCAUGCUUCAAGGUAGGAACCAAAAAUGCGGAAAUCAUCUGUUCACCCACUCUGUGUCUCACAAAGACAAGGCGGUUGGAACCUAAAAUCUCACAUUUGGACGCAUCAGACCAAAGGACAGAUUUCCAAAAACCAUCAAAUGACAGAUUUUUACCUUGUUAGCUCGGGGAUUCAAUCGAGCAACCCUUCGGUUAAUAGCCCAACGCACAGUCACAAAAACCAUCAAGCGCCAUGAAGAAACUGGCUCUCAUGAGGAACGCCCCAGGAAAGGAAGACCCAGAGUUACCUCUGCUGCAGAGGAUAAGUUCAUUAGAGUUAGCAGCCUCAGAUUGCAGCCCAAAUAAAUGCUUCACAGAGUUCAAGUAACAGACACAUCUCAACUGUUCAGAGGACUGCGUGAAUCAGGCCUUCAUGGUUGAAUUUCUACAAAGAAAUCACUACUAAAGGACACCAAUAGGAAGAAGACUUGCUUGGGCCAAGAAACACGAACAAUGGACAUUAGACGUUUGGUCUGAGUCCAAAUUUGAGAUUUUUCAUUCCAACCUCAGUGUCUUGUGAGACGCAGAGUAGGUGAACGGAUGAGCUCCGCAUGUGUGGUUCCCACUGUGAAGCAUGGAGGAGGAGGUGUGAUGGUGUGGGGGUGCUUUGCUGGUGACACUGUCUGUGAUAUAUUUAGAAUUCAAGGCACACUUAAACAGCAUGGCUACCACAGCAUUCUGCAGCGAAACGCCAUCCCAUCUGGUUUGCGCUUAGUGGGACUAUCAUUUGAACAGGACAGUGACCCAAAACACACCUCCAAGCUGUAUAAGGGCUAUUUGACCAAGAAGGAGAGUGACGGUGCUGGCCUCCACAAUCACCCGACCUCAACCCAAUUGAGAUGGUUUGGAAUGAGUUGGACAGCAGAGUGAAGGAAAAGCAGCCAACAAGUGCUCAGCAUAUGUGGGAACUCAUUCUAGACUGUUGGAAAAGCAUUCCUCAUGAAGCUGGUUGAGAGAAUGCCAAGAGUGUGCAAUGCUGUCAUCAAGGCAAAGGGUGGCUACUUUGAAGUAAUAUAAAAUAUAUAUAUUUUGAUUUGUUUAACACUUUUUUUGCUUACUGCAUGAUUCCAUAUGUGUUAUUUUAUAGUUUUGAUGUCUUCACUGUUAUUAUACAAUGUAGAAAAUAAUACAAAUAAAGAAAACCCUUGAAUGAGUAGGUGUGUCCAAACUUUUGACUGGUACUGUAUGUACAUAUUGUAUGUAUAUAUAAAAAAUAUAUGGGGGAUUGGAAAUGAUGCAGACAAUUACUUUGGAUUACAAUUACAAUUACUACAGAAGCUAUAAUCUAUCUGCAAUAUUAUAGCUGAUCUCCCCCCUAAUAGA
Molecule: long non-coding RNA, 3332 nt
Organism: Salvelinus fontinalis (brook trout)
Lineage: Eukaryota; Metazoa; Chordata; Actinopteri; Salmoniformes; Salmonidae
Exons: 5
Source: RefSeq, a predicted model, not a curated record